Molecule: ribosomal RNA, 390 nt
Filed under: uncultured bacterium
Lineage: Bacteria
Description: bacterial SSU rRNA
Rfam family: Bacterial small subunit ribosomal RNA
Source: RNAcentral
GACGAACGCUGGCGGCGUGCUUAACACAUGCAAGUCGAGCGGUAAGGCCCUUUCGGGGGGUACACGAGCGGCGAACGGGUGAGUAACACGUGGGUGACCUGCCUUUAGCUCUGGGAUAAGCCUGGGAAACUGGGUCUAAUACCGGAUACGACUCCGCGGUGCAUGCUGUGGGGUGGAAAGCCUUGUGCGGCUGGAGAUGGGCCCGCGGCCUAUCAGCUUGUUGGUGGGGUGAUGGCCUACCAAGGCGACGACGGGUAGCCGGCCUGAGAGGGCGACCGGCCACACUGGGACUGAGACACGGCCCAGACUCCUACGGGAGGCAGCAGUGGGGAAUCUUGCGCAAUGGGCGAAAAGCCUGACGCAGCGACGCCGCGUGAGGGAUGACGGCCU